RNAcentral lists this ribosomal RNA (640 nucleotides) under Microbacterium sp. I13A-01666. RNAcentral's name for it is "bacterial SSU rRNA". It matches the Rfam family "Bacterial small subunit ribosomal RNA", at positions 92 to 745 of the family's 1533-position model. The record is from RNAcentral. Lineage: Bacteria; Bacillati; Actinomycetota; Actinomycetes; Micrococcales; Microbacteriaceae.
UCAGUGGCGAACGGGUGAGUAACACGUGAGCAACCUGCCCCUGACUCUGGGAUAAGCGCUGGAAACGGCGUCUAAUACUGGAUAUGUGACGUGACCGCAUGGUCUGCGUUUGGAAAGAUUUUUCGGUUGGGGAUGGGCUCGCGGCCUAUCAGCUUGUUGGUGAGGUAAUGGCUCACCAAGGCGUCGACGGGUAGCCGGCCUGAGAGGGUGACCGGCCACACUGGGACUGAGACACGGCCCAGACUCCUACGGGAGGCAGCAGUGGGGAAUAUUGCACAAUGGGCGCAAGCCUGAUGCAGCAACGCCGCGUGAGGGAUGACGGCCUUCGGGUUGUAAACCUCUUUUAGCAGGGAAGAAGCGAAAGUGACGGUACCUGCAGAAAAAGCGCCGGCUAACUACGUGCCAGCAGCCGCGGUAAUACGUAGGGCGCAAGCGUUAUCCGGAAUUAUUGGGCGUAAAGAGCUCGUAGGCGGUUUGUCGCGUCUGCUGUGAAAUCCCGAGGCUCAACCUCGGGCCUGCAGUGGGUACGGGCAGACUAGAGUGCGGUAGGGGAGAUUGGAAUUCCUGGUGUAGCGGUGGAAUGCGCAGAUAUCAGGAGGAACACCGAUGGCGAAGGCAGAUCUCUGGGCCGUAACUGACG